AAAAACAUGCUCAGCAAAUGUUCCAGCAACAGCUGGUUUUUCGGGACUGUUGAGCAAGAGUAGAUGUCUCCGGACAUGCUCGGGUAACUUUCCAGGUUGUUUUUAAUAUCAAUUGGUUGUUUUGUUAAAUCGUCAGGACUUGCGUCGUGAGUUAGAUGGGAAAUAUUGACCGAGGAAGUUGCUGAAAUCUGAUGGCGAUCAACUUAGUUGACGGGAACGGUCCUGGUCAAAUGCAGUUGUUGCAUUUGCAUUCAUAACGGGAUAGCACAUGAAACAUCCGCGUUCAGCCGGUUUAACUUGCGCAGCUGCUUCUCCUCGAACAGCUUUCUCUUGGAUCUGCCAUCUUCCUUAGAACGUUCUAAACUACGACAUCGCGCAGGUAAUCACUUUAGUUGACUUAUCGACUAAACGAACUUCGCCGGGACUGAUGUUCCUGAGCCAGGCACAUACUUUCUCAACAUCAACAGGCCCGAUUCGAUGACCAAGCCAAAUUCAGCUUUACUUUCGGUAAAUUUCUGUUUUUUCGAUAUCAACUAA
This is a long non-coding RNA of Culex quinquefasciatus (southern house mosquito), 537 nucleotides long. RefSeq lists it as uncharacterized. The record is from RefSeq and is a predicted model, not a curated record. The transcript has 3 exons. Lineage: Eukaryota; Metazoa; Arthropoda; Insecta; Diptera; Culicidae.